This is a long non-coding RNA of Dromaius novaehollandiae (emu), 293 nucleotides long. RefSeq lists it as uncharacterized. The transcript has 2 exons. The record is from RefSeq and is a predicted model, not a curated record. NCBI's taxonomy places the organism in Eukaryota, Metazoa, Chordata, Aves, Casuariiformes, Dromaiidae.
ACUAUCAGCAAUUCAAGUCCAUGAUAUGAUGAAGUUUGUUUCAGAUCCGCAGAUAAAAAUGCAAACUGAAUCCUGCCUCCUGACAGCAUACCAACAUACCUAAAACAAGAAAGGAUAAUGAGUGCUGAAUGUUUCUUUUACUAUUAGCUUCAGAUCAAGCCUUUGAUGAGAAAAACAUGUUCUCUAUAAAGUUCAAACAUUUCAACAAAUAUUGGUGCUGCUUUAUAACAAUAAAAAUCCUUUUUUUUUUUUUUAGAAGGGAUUCUAAAUUAAAAUUCUCAAUCUAAACUGCA